UCUGCAACUCGACUACAUGAAGCUGGAAUCGCUAGUAAUCGCAGAUCAGAAUGCUGCGGUGAAUACGUUCCCGGGUCUUGUACACACCGCCCGUCACACCAUGGGAGUCGGAAAUGCCCGAAGCCGGUGACCCAACCAAAAGGAGGGAGCCGUCGAAGGCAGGUCUGAUAACUGGGGUGAAGUCGUAACAAGGUAUC
Molecule: ribosomal RNA, 197 nt
Filed under: uncultured bacterium
Lineage: Bacteria
Description: partial 16S ribosomal RNA
Rfam family: Bacterial small subunit ribosomal RNA
Source: RNAcentral